This 253-nucleotide ribosomal RNA is filed under the name uncultured bacterium. RNAcentral's name for it is "partial 16S ribosomal RNA". It matches the Rfam family "Bacterial small subunit ribosomal RNA", at positions 524 to 776 of the family's 1533-position model. The record is from RNAcentral.
UACGUAGGGGGCUAGCGUUGUCCGGAUUUAUUGGGCGUAAAGCGCGUGUAGGCGGCCCGGUAAGUCCGCUGUGAAAGUCGGGGGCCCAACCCUCGAAUGCCGGUGGAUACUGUCGGGCUAGAGUGCGGAAGAGGCGAGUGGAAUUCCUGGUGUAGCGGUGAAAUGCGCAGAUAUCAGGAGGAACACCAAUUGCGAAGGCAGCUCGCUGGGACGUGACUGACGCUGAGACGCGAAAGCGUGGGGAGCAAACAGG